CAGUCGCCGCGGGAAUACGUAGGGUACGAGCGUUAAUCGGAAUUAUUGGGCGUAAAGGGCUCGCAGGCGGUUUCUUAAGUCUGAUGUGAAAGCCCCCGGCUCAACCGGGGAGGGUCAUUGGAAACUGGGAAACUUGAGUGCAGAAGAGGAGAGUGGAAUUCCACGUGUAGCGGUGAAAUGCGUAGAGAUGUGGAGGAACACCGGUGGCGAAGGCGACUCUCUGGUCUGUAACUGACGCUGAGGAGCGAAAGCGUGGGGAGCGAACAGGAUUAGAUACCCCAGUAGUCCCUGUCUCUUAUCA
Molecule: ribosomal RNA, 301 nt
Filed under: uncultured bacterium
Lineage: Bacteria
Description: partial 16S ribosomal RNA
Rfam family: Bacterial small subunit ribosomal RNA
Source: RNAcentral